RNAcentral lists this ribosomal RNA (420 nucleotides) under uncultured eukaryote. RNAcentral's name for it is "SSU rRNA". It matches the Rfam family "Eukaryotic small subunit ribosomal RNA", at positions 592 to 1018 of the family's 1831-position model. The record is from RNAcentral.
CAAUAACGUAUAUUAAAGUUGUUGCGGCUAAAAGCUCGUAGUUGGAUUUCUGCUGAGGACGAUCGGCCCGCCCUCUGGGUGAGCAUUGACUCGGCCUUGGCAUCUUCUUGGAGAACGCUACUGCGCUUGACUGUGCGGCGGGGUAUCCAGGACUCUUACGUUGAGGAAAUUAGAGUGUUUCAAGCAGGCGCGCGCCUUGAAUACAUUAGCAUGGAAUAAUAGGAUAGGACCUUGGUUCUAUUUUGUUGGUUUCUAGAGCUGAGGUAAUGAUUAAUAGGGGUAGUUGGGGGCAUUCGUAUUUAACUGUCAGAGGUGACAUUCUUGGAUUUGUUAAGGACGGACUACUGCGAAAGCAUUUGCCACGGAUUUUUUCAUUGAUCAAGAACGAAAGUUAGGGGAUCGAAGACGAUCAGAUACCAU